UCGGGAAUUUUGGGCAAUGGGCGAAAGCCUGACCCAGCAACGCCGCGUGAAGGAUGAAGUAUUUCGGUAUGUAAACUUCGAAAGAAUAGGAAGAAUAAAUGACGGUACUAUUUAUAAGGUCCGGCUAACUACGUGCCAGCAGCCGCGGUAAUACGUAGGGACCAAGCGUUGUUCGGAUUUACUGGGCGUAAAGGGCGCGUAGGCGGCAAUUCAAGUCAUCUGUGAAAUCUCCGGGCUUAACUCGGAACGGUCAGAUGAUACUGCUUUGCUAGAGUGCAGAAGGGGCAAUCGGAAUUCUUGGUGUAGCGGUGAAAUGCGUAGAUAUCAAGAGGAACACCUGAGGUGAAGACGGGUUGCUGGGCUGACACUGACGCUGAGGCGCGAAAGCCAGGGGGAGCAAACGGGAUUAGAUACCCGCGUAGUCCCUGAGCGGGCUGGCAAGGCGCAU
This 448-nucleotide ribosomal RNA is filed under the name uncultured bacterium. Its description in RNAcentral is "bacterial SSU rRNA". It matches the Rfam family "Bacterial small subunit ribosomal RNA", at positions 355 to 825 of the family's 1533-position model. The record is from RNAcentral.